AGAUUAAGUAAGAGGUGAAAUUCCGAGGCUCAACCGCGGGACUGCCCUGGAAACUGUGCGGCUGGAGUGCCGGAGAGGUAAGCGGAAUUCCUAGUGUAGCGGUGAAAUGCGUAGAUAUUAGGAGGAACACCAGUGGCGAAGGCGGCUUACUGGACGGUAACUGACGUUGAGGCUCGAAAGCGUGGGGAGCAAACAG
RNAcentral lists this ribosomal RNA (196 nucleotides) under uncultured bacterium. Its description in RNAcentral is "partial 16S ribosomal RNA". It matches the Rfam family "Bacterial small subunit ribosomal RNA", at positions 580 to 775 of the family's 1533-position model. The record is from RNAcentral.